GAUGAACGCUGGCGGCGUGCCUAAUACAUGCAAGUCGAGCGAACAGACGAGGAGCUUGCUCCUCUGACGCUAGCGGCGGACGGGUGAGUAACACGUGGAUAACCUACCUAUAAGACUGGGAUAACUUCGGGAAACCGGAGCUAAUACCGGAUAAUAUAUUUAACCGCAUGGUUCAAUAGUGAAAGACGGUUUUGCUGUCCCUUAUAGAUGGAUCCGCGCCGCAUUAGCUAGUUGGUAAGGUAACGGCUUACCAAGGCAACGAUGCGUAGCCGACCUGAGAGGGUGAUCGGCCACACUGGAACUGAGACACGGUCCAGACUCCUACGGGAGGCAGCAGUAGGGAAUCUUCCGCAAUGGGCGAAAGCCUGACGGAGCAACGCCGCGUGAGUGAUGAAGGUCUUCGGAUCGUAAAACUCUGUUAUUAGGGAAGAACAAAUGUGUAAGUAACUAUGCACGUCUUGACGGUACCUAAUCAGAAAGCCACGGCUAACUACGUG
RNAcentral lists this ribosomal RNA (497 nucleotides) under uncultured bacterium. Its description in RNAcentral is "partial 16S ribosomal RNA". It matches the Rfam family "Bacterial small subunit ribosomal RNA", at positions 28 to 507 of the family's 1533-position model. The record is from RNAcentral.